UGUACCGACAUAGCAAGAGAGAAAGAGAGGAGGCCACGGCUAAGGGGAGGGAGGAAGGAGAGGUCCGUUUUCGGUGAUCCAACCCGAUAACAGGUAGCAGGUGGCUUAGAGUAGGUCCACUACCGGUCAGCGCUUUGGGGAGUGCUCAGUCUAACGUUGGGUGACGUCUUUGGUUAGAUUGCUGUGUAAUUGGUUCAUCUAGAGGUUAACUUAUGCGUUUUGUAAUUAAUUGGAGAGAUGGUUAUUUAUUAUAACUUGUGAGUUGAGAUUUUGGCGUUGACCUAGUUGUAUUUUAUGUG
Molecule: long non-coding RNA, 299 nt
Organism: Rhododendron vialii
Lineage: Eukaryota; Viridiplantae; Streptophyta; Magnoliopsida; Ericales; Ericaceae
Exons: 2
Source: RefSeq, a predicted model, not a curated record